GGACGAACGCUGGCGGCGUGCUUAACACAUGCAAGUCAAGGGGGCCGGAGCAAUCCGGUAACCGGCGAACGGGUGCGUAACACGUGAGCGACCUGCCGAUCAGAGGGGGAUAGCCGGCCCAACGGCCGGGUAAUACCGCAUACGCUCUUUGGGCUACCUGGCCUGGAGAGGAAACUUCUGGGGCUGAUCGAGGGGCUCGCGGCCUAUCAGCUAGUUGGUGGGGUAAUGGCCUACCAAGGCGACGACGGGGANCCUGGUCUGAGAGGAUGGCCAGCCACAUUGGGACU
Molecule: ribosomal RNA, 287 nt
Filed under: uncultured bacterium
Lineage: Bacteria
Description: partial 16S ribosomal RNA
Rfam family: Bacterial small subunit ribosomal RNA
Source: RNAcentral